This 247-nucleotide ribosomal RNA is filed under the name uncultured bacterium. RNAcentral describes it as "partial 16S ribosomal RNA". It matches the Rfam family "Bacterial small subunit ribosomal RNA", at positions 523 to 769 of the family's 1533-position model. The record is from RNAcentral.
AUACGUAUGGUGCAAGCGUUAUCCGGAUUUACUGGGUGUAAAGGGAGCGCAGGCGGCGCGGCAAGUCUGAUGUGAAAGCCCGGGGCUCAACCCCGGUACUGCAUUGGAAACUGUCGUGCUAGAGUGUCGGAGGGGUAAGCGGAAUUCCUAGUGUAGCGGUGAAAUGCAUAGAUAUCACUUGGAACCCCGAUAGCGAAGGCAGCUUCCCAGGCUCGUUCUGACGCUGGUGCGCGAGAGCGUGGGUAGC